AACGGAGGGGACAAGCGUUAUUCAUCCUUAUUGGGCGUAAAGGGUAUGUAGGUGAUAAAAAAGAUUUAAUCGAAAAUUUCAAAUUUAUCUUUUGAAAGUGGUUAAAUGGUAAUCGAUUAAGAGAUUUCUUAAGGUUGGCGGGAUUACUAAAGUAGAGGUAAAAUAUUACGAUCUUAGUACGAACACCAAAAGCGAAAGCAGCUUUCUUAUGAAUCUAACACUGAGAUACGAAAGCAUGGGGAUCAAACAGG
RNAcentral lists this ribosomal RNA (251 nucleotides) under uncultured bacterium. RNAcentral describes it as "partial 16S ribosomal RNA". It matches the Rfam family "Bacterial small subunit ribosomal RNA", at positions 524 to 776 of the family's 1533-position model. The record is from RNAcentral.